This 1231-nucleotide long non-coding RNA is filed under the name Numida meleagris (helmeted guineafowl). Its description in RNAcentral is "lncRNA (ENSNMEG00000010892.1)". Lineage: Eukaryota; Metazoa; Chordata; Aves; Galliformes; Numididae. The record is from RNAcentral.
CCCAGCAGACAGGAAGAGAGUUGUGGCACGUGGGGAGAGAUAUGGGGUCAGCGUCAGGGGAGAUGGUGAGCUUCAGUGUGGAGCACGUGGAUGGCCGUGCUCAGCAUGCAGGCUGCUGAGUUGUAGCUGCGUGUGGUUUCCAUGGAGUCCCCAUGGCAUGUCCCAGCUAGAGCGCACUGCAGAAGUUUUCAUGGUGAGCAUGUUUUCCUGUUUCCCAGGUGCAGCCUGUCUGGUUGCAUUCCACGCCCUCUACACCAGGCAGUUCACCACUGUCAGUGCCUCUGAGAAACAUGCUGUCUGCGUGACAUCUGUGUUCUGAAGUAUGUUUUUGAAGGGAAACUGUGGCAAAAUGCAUCUUCCUGUGCACACUGUAGGCACAGCUCUAAAAGCAGUGGCUCCCUGAAAUGAAGAGCUUAUUAAAAGCAUAUUUGUUAAGAAUCUCAAGCCACGAAGCCCUUGUGAUUAUAUAAUAGCUCUCAAGAGGAAGCUGCUAACAAGCCCAUCUGAUAUUUUGUGCCAGCUGUUUUAGUGGAGGCGUGUUGGAUUAGACAGAACUCCGCCUUCUUUGACAAGAACUAUUCCGAAGAGGCUCCUAAAUAAUAUGUUAUCUCCUAUUCAGAGAAGUUAUUUUGCUGGUUACUUAAGCACAUCUGUAACUGUGCUUUUCCUCUGGGACCCCUCAAGUCAGAAUGCAUUGCAAAUGCUAAUAUAUUCAUUAAAUCUGCAAAGCAUUUGGAAAGUGACAGAGCCUGAAGAAAAAGGGAAUUCAAAAUCUGGCUCUCCAGUUUUCUCCUGGACCUAUCUGGUCUUCUGUAUCCAUGGACAAGUGGGCUGCUGCAGGAGUGGUGUACAAGCCCCACCAUUAGCCAGUCUCUCUGUACUAUGCAGCAACUUCUGCUAAGUUCCUUGUUCCGGGCUGUGGCUACAUGAUUAAACUCUCAUGCUGAUCUUAACAGUUCAGGGAUCAAUAUUUUUGAAAGAGCAGGAAGGAUUGCACUGGUGUAAAGCAGUGUGUCUGCUGCUCACUUUGCUUAAGAGAGCUGCAAGACUGAAAGAACAUUUAUGCAAGUCAGUCAGUCUUGGGGCAGUGGCAGAGUGCAGUCUGUGAAUUAUGCUGUUACACACAGACAUCUGAAGAGGAUUUUUCUCUUCUUUUGUUGGUUGUUGAAAUAUGGAUAAAAUUUCAGUACCUGCUAAAUUUUGGGCAAUAAAAGUCAUUUUUAUGAAGACA